AACGCGAAGAACCUUACCUGGGCUUGAACCGCACAGGACCAUCUUUGGAAACAGAGACUUCCCGCAAGGGACCUGUGUAGAGGUGCUGCAUGGCUGUCGUCAGCUCGUGCCGUGAGGUGUUGGGUUAAGUCCCGCAACGAGCGCAACCCUUACUCAUAGUUGCUACCCGCAAGGGAGAACUCUAUGAGGACCGCUCCGGAUAACGGAGAGGAAGGUGGGGAUGAGGUCAAGUCAGCAUGGCCUUUAUGUCCAGGGCUACACACGUGCUACAAUGGGCGGUACAAAGCGCUGCUAAGCCGCAAGGCGGAGCCAAUCGCAAAAAGCCGCUCUCAGUUCGGAUUGCAGGCUGCAACUCGCCUGCAUGAAGCUGGAAUCGCUAGUAAUGCUAUAUCAGAACGAUAGCGUGAAUACGUUCCCGGGCCUUGUACACACCGACGCGUA
Molecule: ribosomal RNA, 441 nt
Filed under: uncultured bacterium
Lineage: Bacteria
Description: bacterial SSU rRNA
Rfam family: Bacterial small subunit ribosomal RNA
Source: RNAcentral